AACGAACGCUGGCGGCAUGCCUAACACAUGCAAGUCGAACGAGAACUUCGGGUCUAUUGGCGCACGGGUGCGUAACGCGUGGGAACCUGCACUUAGGUUCGGCAUAACUCCCCGAAAGGGGUGCUAAUACCGGAUAAUGUCUUCGGACCAAAGAUUUAUCGCCUUUGGAUGGGCCCUCGUUGGAUUAGCUAGUUGGUAGGGUAAAAGCCUACCAAGGCGACGAUCCAUAGCUGGUCUGAGAGGAUGAUCAGCCACACUGGGACUGAGACACGGCCCAGACUCCUACGCGAGGCAGGAGUGGGUAAUAUUGGACAAUGGGCGAAAGCCUGAUCCAGCAAUGCCGCGUGAGUGAUGAAGGCCUUAGGGUAGUAAAGCUCUUUUACCCGGGAUGAUAAUGACAGUACCGGGAGAAUAAGCUCCGGCUAACUCCGUG
Molecule: ribosomal RNA, 433 nt
Filed under: uncultured bacterium
Lineage: Bacteria
Description: partial 16S ribosomal RNA
Rfam family: Bacterial small subunit ribosomal RNA
Source: RNAcentral